AUACGGAGGGUGCGAGCGUUAAUCGGAAUUACUGGGCGUAAAGCGCGCGUAGGUGGUUUUGUAAGUCGGAUGUGAAAGCCCCGGGCUCAACCUGGGAAUUGCAUUCGAUACUGCAAGACUUGAGUACAGUAGAGGAGAGUAGAAUUCCUGGUGUAGCGGUGAAAUGCGUAGAUAUCAGGAGGAAUACCAGUGGCGAAGGCGGCUCUCUGGACUGAUACUGACACUGAGGUGCGAAAGCGUGGGUAGCGAACAGGAUUAGAUACCCCAGUAGUCC
RNAcentral lists this ribosomal RNA (274 nucleotides) under uncultured bacterium. Its description in RNAcentral is "partial 16S ribosomal RNA". It matches the Rfam family "Bacterial small subunit ribosomal RNA", at positions 523 to 796 of the family's 1533-position model. The record is from RNAcentral.